CCUACGGGAGGCAGCAGUGGGGGAUAUUGCACAAUGGAGGAAACUCUGAUGCAGCGACGCCGCGUGAGGGAAGACGGCCUUCGGAUUGUAAACCUCUGUCUUUGGGGAAGAAAAUGACGGUACCAAAAGAGGAAGCUACGGCAAACUACGUGACAGCAGCCGCGGGAAUACGUAGGGAGCGAGCGUUGGCGGGAAUUACUGGGUGAAAGGGGAGCGUAGGCGGGCGUGAAAGUUGAAUGUAAAAUCUACCGGCUAAACUGGUAGUUGCGUUUAAUACUUGUUGUCUUGAGUUCAGUAGAGGCAGGCAGAAUUCCUAGUGUAGCGGUGAAAUGCGUAGAUAUUAGGAGGAACACCGAUGGCGAAGGCAGCCUGUUGGGCUUUAACUGACGCUGAGGCUCGAAAGCGUGGGGAGCAAACAGGAUUAGAUACCCUAGUAGUC
Molecule: ribosomal RNA, 439 nt
Filed under: uncultured bacterium
Lineage: Bacteria
Description: partial 16S ribosomal RNA
Rfam family: Bacterial small subunit ribosomal RNA
Source: RNAcentral